CCUACGGGAGGCUGCAGUGGGGAAUAUUGGACAAUGGGCGAAAGCCUGAUCCAGCCAUGCCGCGUGUGUGAAGAAGGCCUUCGGGUUGUAAAGCACUUUCAGUGGGGAAGAAAGCCUUGGGGCUAAUACCCUCGAGGAAGGACAUCACCCACAGAAGAAGCACCGGCUAACUCCGUGCCAGCAGCCGCGGUAAUACGGAGGGGUGCGAGCGUUAAUCGGAAUUACUGGGCGUAAAGCGCGCGUAGGCGGUCUGAUAAGCCGGUUGUGAAAGCCCGGGGCUCAACCUGGGAACGGCAUCCGGAACUGUCAGGCUAGAGUGCAGGAGAGGAAGGUAGAAUUCCCGGUGUAGCGGUGAAAUGCGUAGAGAUCGGGAGGAAUACCAGUGGCGAAGGCGGCCUUCUGGACUGACACUGACGCUGAGGUGCGAAAGCGUGGGUAGCAAACAGGAUUAGAUACCCCGGUAGUC
Molecule: ribosomal RNA, 466 nt
Filed under: Vreelandella stevensii
Lineage: Bacteria; Pseudomonadati; Pseudomonadota; Gammaproteobacteria; Oceanospirillales; Halomonadaceae
Description: partial 16S ribosomal RNA
Rfam family: Bacterial small subunit ribosomal RNA
Source: RNAcentral